This 221-nucleotide non-coding RNA is filed under the name Nitrospira sp. SG-bin2. Its description in RNAcentral is "partial 23S ribosomal RNA". It matches the Rfam family "Bacterial large subunit ribosomal RNA", at positions 2709 to 2925 of the family's 2925-position model. Lineage: Bacteria; Pseudomonadati; Nitrospirota; Nitrospiria; Nitrospirales; Nitrospiraceae. The record is from RNAcentral.
CUAGUGUGCCGGUUGUCGCGCCAGCGGCAGCGCCGGGUAGCUAUGUCCGGUAGCGAUAAUCGCUGAAAGCAUCUAAGCGAGAAGCGUGCCUCAAGAUAAGCUCUCCCGUAGCAAUAUGCUACCUAAAGACCACUCGUAGACCACGAGUUUGAUAGGCUGGGUGUGGAAGGCGUGUGAGCGCUGUAGCUAACCAGUACUAAUCGGUCGUGCGGUUUAACAUC